GAGUGGCGGACUGGUGAGUAACGCGUGGAUGAUCUACCUUUGAGAUGGGGAUAGCUUCUAGAAAUAGGAGGUAAUACCGAAUAACCUUAUUAUGUUAUGACGUAGUAAGAAAAGGAGCGUCAGCUCCGCUUAAAGAUGAGUCUGCGUCCCAUUAGCUAGUUGGUAAGGUAAAGGCUUACCAAGGCGACGAUGGGUACCCGGCCUGAGAGGGUGAACGGGCACAUUGGGACUGAGAUACGGCCCAAACUCC
Molecule: ribosomal RNA, 250 nt
Filed under: uncultured Treponema sp.
Lineage: Bacteria; Pseudomonadati; Spirochaetota; Spirochaetia; Treponematales; Treponemataceae
Description: partial 16S ribosomal RNA
Rfam family: Bacterial small subunit ribosomal RNA
Source: RNAcentral